Molecule: ribosomal RNA, 253 nt
Filed under: uncultured bacterium
Lineage: Bacteria
Description: partial 16S ribosomal RNA
Rfam family: Bacterial small subunit ribosomal RNA
Source: RNAcentral
UACGUAGGGUGCAAGCGUUGUCCGGAAUUAUUGGGCGUAAAGAGCUCGUAGGCGGUCUGUUGCGUCGGCUGUGAAAACCCGGGGCUCAACCCCGGGCCUGCAGCCGAUACGGGCGGGCUAGAGUUCGGUAGGGGAGACUGGAAUUCCUGGUGUAGCGGUGAAAUGCGCAGAUAUCAGGAGGAACACCGGUGGCGAAGGCGGGUCUCUGGGCCGAUACUGACGCUGAGGAGCGAAAGCGUGGGGAGCGAACAGG